ACGGGUGAGUAAUAUAUCGGAACGUGCCCAAUCGUGGGGGAUAACGUAGAGAAAUUUACGCUAAUACCGCAUACGAUCUAAGGAUGAAAGCGGGGGAUCGCAAGACCUCGCGCGAUUGGAGCGGCUGAUAUCAGAUUAGCUUGUUGGUGAGGUAAAAGCUCACCAAGGCGACGAUCUGUAGCUGGUUUGAGAGAACGACCAGCCACACUGGGACUGAGACACGGCCCAGACUCCUACGGGAGGCAGCAGUGGGGAAUUUUGGACAAUGGGCGAAAGCCUGAUCCAGCAAUGCCGCGUGCAGGAAGAAGGCCUUCGGGUUGUAAACUGCUUUUGUACGGAACGAAACGGUCUGCCCUAAUACGGCGGGCUAAUGACGGUACCGUAAGAAUAAGCACCGGCUAACUACGUGCCAGCAGCCGCGGUAAUACGUAGGGUGCGAGCGUUAAUCGGAAUUACUGGGCGUAAAGCGUGCGCAGGCGGUUAUGUAAGACAGUUGUGAAAUCCCCGGGCUCAACCUGGGAAUUGCAUCUGUGACUGCAUAGCUAGAGUACGGUAGAGGGGGAUGGAAUUCCGCGUGUAGCAGUGAAAUG
Molecule: ribosomal RNA, 590 nt
Filed under: Polaromonas sp. BvORHM058
Lineage: Bacteria; Pseudomonadati; Pseudomonadota; Betaproteobacteria; Burkholderiales; Comamonadaceae
Description: bacterial SSU rRNA
Rfam family: Bacterial small subunit ribosomal RNA
Source: RNAcentral